RNAcentral lists this ribosomal RNA (246 nucleotides) under Triticum aestivum (bread wheat). Its description in RNAcentral is "partial small subunit ribosomal RNA". Lineage: Eukaryota; Viridiplantae; Streptophyta; Magnoliopsida; Poales; Poaceae. The record is from RNAcentral.
AUGUCUGAUGGUGAAGAUGUCUGGCCUCGUCGGCUCAGACAGAUGGUCGGCCUUCGCCUCGUCGGUGCCCGGCCUGGUGGUGUCCGCCUCGUUGGUGUCAGACACGACCUCAGACCGUCGUGCCUCGUCGGUCUUGGCAGCGUUGGAGUAUUUGUUGUCGGGGUGGCAUGGGUCACGCUCGGCUUAGACUUCUUGGCGGCCGGUUACUUCAUCGGGGUGUGCAAGGGGUACACCUUGCGGGAGUAA